Molecule: ribosomal RNA, 429 nt
Filed under: Bacteroidota bacterium
Lineage: Bacteria; Pseudomonadati; Bacteroidota
Description: Bacteroidetes bacterium partial 16S ribosomal RNA
Rfam family: Bacterial small subunit ribosomal RNA
Source: RNAcentral
UAGGGAAUCUUCCGCAAUGGACGCAAGUCUGACGGAGCAACGCCGCGUGAGUGAAGAAGGAUUUCGGUUCGUAAAACUCUGUUGUUAGAGAAGAACAGCGCAUAGAGCAACUGUUAUGCGUGUGACGGUAUCUAACCAGAAAGCCACGGCUAACUACGUGCCAGCAGCCGCGGUAAUACGUAGGUGGCAAGCGUUGUCCGGAAUUAUUGGGCGUAAAGCCAGCGCAGGCGGUCAAUUAAGUCUGAUGUGAAAGCCCCCGGCUCAACCGGGGAGGGUCAUUGGAAACUGGUUGAGUUGAGUGCAGGAGGGGAGAGUGGAAUUCCAUGUGGAGCGGUGAUAUGCGUAGAUUUAUGGAGGAACAGCAGGGGAGAAGGCGACUCUCUGGUCUGUAACUGACGCUGAGGCUCGAAAGCGUGGGUAGCAAACAGG